Molecule: ribosomal RNA, 1187 nt
Filed under: uncultured bacterium
Lineage: Bacteria
Description: bacterial SSU rRNA
Rfam family: Bacterial small subunit ribosomal RNA
Source: RNAcentral
GUCAAGGGAUUCUAAGGGGGGUUGCCCCCCCCCACCCUUGGUAACUGAGGACCCCGACCAGACUUCUACGGGAGGCAGCAGUAAGGAUAUUUGUCAUGGCGCAAGCCUGAACCAGCCAUGCCGCGUGCAGGAAGACGACCCUACGGGUUGUAAACUGCUUUUGUACGGGAAUAAACCUCUCUACGUGUAGAGAGCUGAAUGUACUGUAAGAAUAAGGAUCGGCUAACUCCGUGCCAGCAGCCGCGGUAAUACGGAGGAUCCAAGCGUUAUCCGGAUUUAUUGGGUUUAAAGGGUGCGUAGGCGGCUUUUUAAGUCAGGGGUGAAAGACGGCAGCUCAACUGUCGCAGUGCCUUUGAUACUGAAGAGCUUGAAUACACUUGAAGUAGGCGGAAUGUGACAAGUAGCGGUGAAAUGCAUAGAUAUGUCACAGAACACCAAUUGCGAAGGCAGCUUACUAAAGCGUGAUUGACGCUGAGGCACGAAAGCGUGGGGAUCAAACAGGAUUAGAUACCCUGGUAGUCCACGCCCUAAACGAUGAACACUCGAUGUUGGCGAUAUACGGUCAGCGUCUAAGCGAAAGCGUUAAGUGUUCCACCUGGGGAGUACGCCCGCAAGGGUGAAACUCAAAGGAAUUGACGGGGGCCCGCACAAGCGGAGGAGCAUGUGGUUUAAUUCGAUGAUACGCGAGGAACCUUACCCGGGCUUGAAAGUUAGUGAAUAGAGCAGAGACGCUCUAGUCCUUCGGGACACGAAACUAGGUGCUGCAUGGCUGUCGUCAGCUCGUGCCGUGAGGUGUUGGGUUAAGUCCCGCAACGAGCGCAACCCCUAUGUUUAGUUGCCAGCACGUCAAGGUGGGGACUCUAAACAGACUGCCUAUGCAAAUAGAGAGGAAGGAGGGGACGACGUCAAGUCAUCAUGGCCCUUACGUCCGGGGCUACACACGUGCUACAAUGGAUGGUACAGCGGGCAGCUACCUGGCAACAGGAUGCCAAUCUCGUAAAGCCAUUCACAGUUCGGAUCGGGGUCUGCAACUCGACCCCGUGAAGUUGGAUUCGCUAGUAAUCGCGUAUCAGCAAUAACGCGGUGAAUACGUUCCCGGGCCUUGUACACACCGCCCGUCAAGCCAUGGAAGCUGGAAGUGCCUGAAGUGCGUAACCGCAAGGAGCGUCCUAGGUAAAGUCGUAGUG